AACAUAAUCUUUUUCUAUAUUAAGUCUAAUACAAUCGGGUUUGUUAGCUUUUGAGUGGACUAACUCAAUGAAGAAGGGGAAGAUGAGUCCUCAGAGCC
Long non-coding RNA from Cucurbita moschata (crookneck pumpkin), 98 nucleotides. RefSeq lists it as uncharacterized. NCBI's taxonomy places the organism in Eukaryota, Viridiplantae, Streptophyta, Magnoliopsida, Cucurbitales, Cucurbitaceae. The record is from RefSeq and is a predicted model, not a curated record. The transcript has 3 exons.